Molecule: ribosomal RNA, 443 nt
Filed under: uncultured bacterium
Lineage: Bacteria
Description: partial 16S ribosomal RNA
Rfam family: Bacterial small subunit ribosomal RNA
Source: RNAcentral
CCUACGGGAGGCAGCAGUGGGGAAUAUUGGGCAAUGGGCGCAACUCUGACCCAGCAAUGCCGCGUGAAUGAUGAAGGUAAUUUUAUUGUAAAGCUCUUUUCUUUGGGACGAAUAAAUUACGGUACCAAAGGAAUAAGCCCCGGCUAACUACGUGCCAGCAGUCGCGGUAAAACGUAUGGGGUAAGCGUUGUUCGGAAUGACAGGGCGUAAAGUGUGUGGAUGUGGUUGUAUAAGUUAGAUGUGUAAUACGCAGGGCUUAAAUCGGUGGCUGCAUCUAAAACUGUUAGACUUGAGUACUGGAGAGGAUAGUGGAAUGCCUAGUGUAGCGGUGGAAUGCGUAGAUAUUAGGAGGAACAUCAGUGGCGAAGGCGACUAUCUGGACAGCAACUGACACUGAGGCACGAAAGCGUGGGGAGCAAACAGGAUUAGAUACCCGGGUAGUC